UCCAGAUGGCUCAGUGGUAAAGAAGCUGCCUGUCAAGCAGCAGACCCGGGUUUGAUCCCUGGGUCAGGAA
This 70-nucleotide transfer RNA is filed under the name Bos taurus (domestic cattle). It matches the Rfam family "tRNA". From Rfam's summary of the family: Transfer RNA (tRNA) molecules are approximately 80 nucleotides in length. Their secondary structure includes four short double-helical elements and three loops (D, anti-codon, and T loops). Lineage: Eukaryota; Metazoa; Chordata; Mammalia; Artiodactyla; Bovidae. RNAcentral also lists the same sequence under 1 other name. The record is from Rfam by way of RNAcentral.